CGCGUGAGCAAUCUGCCUUUGGAUGGGGGAUAACAGCCGGAAACGACUGCUAAUACCGCAUAAUGCAGCAGGACCGCAUGAUUUUGCUGCCAAAGAUUUAUCGUCCAAAGAUGAGCUCGCGUCUGAUUAGCCAGUUGGCGGGGUAACGGCCCACCAAAGCGACGAUCAGUAGCCGGACUGAGAGGUUGAACGGCCACAUUGGGACUGAGACACGGCCCAGACUCCUACGGAAGGCAGCAG
This 240-nucleotide ribosomal RNA is filed under the name uncultured bacterium. Its description in RNAcentral is "partial 16S ribosomal RNA". It matches the Rfam family "Bacterial small subunit ribosomal RNA", at positions 114 to 354 of the family's 1533-position model. The record is from RNAcentral.